This is a small nucleolar RNA of Gossypium arboreum, 107 nucleotides long. It matches the Rfam family "Plant small nucleolar RNA R71". From Rfam's summary of the family: R71 is a member of the C/D box family of snoRNAs containing the C (UGAUGA) and D (CUGA) box motifs. Multiple nearly identical copies of this snoRNA have been identified in Arabidopsis, and it is thought to function as a 2'-O-ribose methylation guide for 18S ribosomal RNA. Lineage: Eukaryota; Viridiplantae; Streptophyta; Magnoliopsida; Malvales; Malvaceae. The record is from Rfam.
AACCCAUGGUGAGGGCACCUUCGCAAUAGAUCCUUGUACCUCUCCCAUGCAUCGUAAAGUGUUUCAAAGUCCAUCUGCACAAAAGAAGAGAUAUCAUUACUUAACUU